Molecule: ribosomal RNA, 449 nt
Filed under: uncultured bacterium
Lineage: Bacteria
Description: partial 16S ribosomal RNA
Rfam family: Bacterial small subunit ribosomal RNA
Source: RNAcentral
AACGAACGCUGGCGGCAUGCCUAACACAUGCAAGUCGAACGAAGCCUUCGGGCUGAGUGGCGCACGGGUGUGUAACGCGCGGGAAUCUGCCCCUGGGUUCGGAAUAACAGUUAGAAAUGACUUCUAAUACCGGAUGAUGUCUUCGGACCAAAGAUUUAUCGCCGAAGGAUGAGCCCGCGUAGGAUUAGGUAGUUGGUGGGGUAAUGGCCCACCAAGCCGACGAUCCUUAGCUGGUCUGAGAGGAUGAUCAGCCACACUGGGACUGAGAGACGGCCCAGACUCCUACGGGAGGCAGCAGUGGGGAAUAUUGGACAAUGGGCGAAAGCCUGAUACAGCAAUGCCGCGUGAGUGAUGAAGGCCUUAGGGUUGUAAAGCUCUGUUACCAGGGAUGAUAAUGACGGUACCUGGGGAAUAAGCCCCGGCUAACUCCGUGCCAGCCGCCGCCGUAA